RNAcentral lists this long non-coding RNA (375 nucleotides) under Mytilus galloprovincialis (Mediterranean mussel). The record is from RNAcentral. Lineage: Eukaryota; Metazoa; Mollusca; Bivalvia; Mytilida; Mytilidae.
CUUUAAAUCAGUAAUGAGAUUUAAUUUUACCAAUUACAUCAUAAUUUCGUUUUCAUCUCAAUAUUGUGUUAACCUACAUUUAAAUUGCAACCUCCUAGUGCAAGGGUUAGGUCUAUUUUUAAAUUCAAAAAUUGUGAAAUGUAAACCAAUGUGAAUUUACUCAAUGUAUACGUGAAAGAGAAAAGGAAAGAAUAAUCGGUUUCAGACAUAUGACAUAUUCAAUUCUACCGAGAUUAAGAAUUUUUUUUCUUAUUUUUUAAUCUGAAGUUGGUACAAACGCCAUAGUUGAUACGGUGUAUUUGAUUAUUCAAAGUCAAACUUCGCCAGGAAUCCUCACAGACAAGCCUUAUAAUGCUAGAGGAAAAACUUCAAUUC